CGGUGUGCGACAGCGUAUUACACUGAGGAAAGUUACGUGCAAAGGAGAGUGUGUGGAUAAGAAGAAGUGAGGACCGAGAGGAGGAGGACGUAAGAAGCGAUACAAAGCGUUAUAGGACAAAAAAAAGAAGAAAAGAAGGUCAGAGCUUUGUAACGGCACCUCCGGGGAAAAUAAACAACAACAAACAACUCUCACUGCUUCCACCUCUCGUCCAUUCGUGCCUCCACUCAGCCCAGCAGCAGCAGCAUCCACUCUCCUCCAGUCCUCUCCCAACAAUGCUGUCCACGCCCUCAACACUCAAUAGUGCACAGUAUUUCACGGGUGGACUAUUGCACGUGACACCGGUCAGCUGGGCAGGAUCUACCCUACUCCCUGCCCCGGGGACACACAUCUCGACAACAACGGCAGUAGCAAGCAGCCUGUGGUGGUCCCACGGCCUAACCAGCAGCAGCUAAUACACUGCUGGAGAAUAACAAACGAGCCAUGGCAACGCUGCAGUCUGGCACUGCUGGCGCCGGUGGUGACGGCAGCAACAAUGAGACAGAGGCAAGCCAGAGUGGAGGAGAAGGCCAGCCCAGUGACCCUAAGCAAAAGGCCCCCCUUCGGACAAUCACGGUCGUGUUCGGCGGCGUCAUCCUGGACCUGCUGGGGUUCACCACUAUGCUGCCGUUGCUCCCCGCGCUGCUCGACUACUACCAGCACAACGACUCCAGCGGCCUCUACGCAUCGCUCCUCACCUCCGUCACCCCAUUCCAGCACCUCAUCGGAGUGCCCUCAAAGUUCAACUCAGUCUUGCUGGGAGGCUUGUUGGGCUCCCUGUUCUGGCUGGUGCAGUUCCUCUCCUCUCCCCUCACCCAUGCUCUCUCGGAUGUCUACGGCAGGAAGCCCAUGUUCCUCGUCAUCUUGGUGGGUAAGGCUGUCUCCUAUGGGCUCUGGGCGGCUGCUAGCACCUUCAGCCUGUUUGUUGUGGCGUGCAUCAUCGGCAGCGCGGCGAAGGGGAGCAUGAGUCUGGGCUACUCCAUCGUGGGCGACACGACGGACACGCAUGCCAGGGCCAGGGGCAGGGCCGUGGUGGGUGUGGCGUACAACAUUGGGUUCACCCUUGGCCCCGUGGUGGGUGCUGCGUUCUCCAGGUGGGGCGACUUGGGCUGGUUUCCCGCCUCCGCCCUCUACGCGCUCGCCCUGACCGUCACCAACAUCACCUUCUUCACUGCCUUCUUCAGGGAGACGCUGCCGCAGAACAAGCGUCGACCCAGCCUUGCCGCCGGUGUGUGCGAGGCGUGGAAGUUUAUCAAUCCCAGGGCUGUCUUCUCCUUCAGCUCUCUCGAGGGGUUCAGCAAGGAAGAGAGGAAUAGAUUGCUGCAAUUCGUGUGGUUCUUCUUCCUGUUCGCGUCCCUUCAGUCGGGCCUUGAGUUCACGCUGCCCUUCAUGACGCACCACAAGCACGGCUACGACUCCUUGGCGCAGGGAUACAUGCUGUCUCUCCUCUACCUGGUCAAGUCCCUCACGCCGGACCGCCUCCUGCUCUUCCGUCUUGCAGACUCGAAGAAGGCCCUGGCUCAUGUGGCGCUGGUGAUGAUGGUUCCGGCCUUCAUCCUCAUAGGGGUCGGCAAGACCAGCGUCGACCUGUACUUUGGCCUCACACUCUACGCCAUUGGCUCCUCCCUCAUGGAGACGUGCCUCCAGGAGUUGUCCCCCCUCAACUUGUCACUUGUGGACGUGCAGAAGAUCUCCUCACUCACGUUGCUGGGCAGGGCAUGCGGGACCUUCGUGAUGGCUGCAGGUUUCUGGUGUCUGGGCGCUGAGGUCUGCUACAUGGUCGGGGGGCUGUCCCUGCUGGUGCCUCUCAUCAUGCUGCGAUGUUGCUGAGGCAGCCUGGCGCUCCUCACACACAGAAACACACCACUGCCAUGGGAGAAGGCUGGCCAGUCAGCCGUCCACUCAUACAGUCACUCGGGCAGUCAGUUAUGCAUUACUUGAAUUCUGUAAAAGCGUUCCACUUUCCUGCACUCGACACAGAUCUCUCCACGUCUCCAACAUAAACUUCUGCAUCAUCUGUGUCUCUGUGGGAGGAAGAAGAGCAGUGGCGUGGUGUUCAUAUGUGUCUAGGAUGGUGCCGGAGACUGUGCUAGGACCAGAGCCAUAGGGUAGGAGAGUUUGCCCAGCUUCAUCACAGGUGCCAUGCUGUUAGGUACCAAUAGAUCCAUGUGAAAUGCAUGUUGAUGGUGACUGUAAUGUUUUGUUGUGCUUUGGGUAUCAUCAGAAUCUCAAAGAAGUACCCAGAGAGCCCCCAAAACUAUCAUAUCAGUAUCAUAUUGGCCAUGCUGUUAGGUGCCAAAAGAUCCAUGUGAAAUGCAUAUUGAUGGUGACUGUAAUGUUUUGUUGUGCUUUGGGUAUCAUUAGAAUCUCAAAGAAGUGCCCAGAGAGCCCCCAAAACUAUCAUAUCAGCAUCAUAUUGGCCAUGCUGUAACCAAAAAAUCCAUGUGAAAUUGAAACUGAUGGUGGUUGUAAUGUUUUCUUUAUGGGUUGGGUAUUGUCAGGAUCAGGAAGCAACACCCAGACAGCCCCCAAAACUAUCAUAUCAGUAUCAUAUUGGCCAUGCUGUAACCAAAAAAUCCAUGUGAAAUUGAAAUUGAUGGUGGUUGUAAUGUUUUCUUUAUGGGUUGGGUAUUGUCAGGAUCAGGAAGAAACACCCAGACAGCCCCCAAAACUAUCAUAUCAGUAUCAUGUUGAGUUUCACGUGGCUCUCUUGGUUACAACAUUCAAGAGUUUAAGGUAGAUAUUCUCAGGCACUGCAUAUAUCGUCACCUUCAUAAGCAAACCGCCUAAGUCAUUAUUUUCUACUUUACAGGAAAUAGAAAAAGAACUGUCAUCAUCUCAUUUGGCUUAAUAUUUAGGCAGAAAUGAAAAGGCCAAUUCUAGAACACUCAAACCCUGAAUGACGAAGGCAACUAUACAAAAACGGGCGUCACGUGUUAAGAAAAUUGAUGUAGACAAAAACCUGGAAAUCGCUGAAAAAUGACUUAGGCGAUUACUUUAUGAGGGUGACGAUAUGUUUUACUUUCAUAUAUAUACUUCUCUUUAUCUUGUAUUUUCACGACUUUUUUGUUCUGCUUCAUUUUUCAUUUUUGUCUGUGAUGAGGAUGGCAACUGUCUCCCAUUCUGUGGCUCUGGUUAGGAAGGCUAGUGUGUGUAUCUCUUGGUCCAGUGUGCCUCUUAUGUCCUGGGUUGUGGGAGGGGAGACUGUCAUAGAUGUAAGUGAUGUGGCUGAGAGUUCCUGUGUCUUAGGUCCAUAUAAAUCCGUCCAUAAAUAUAUCUGUCUCCCAUUAACACUGUUUCCCAAGGCCACAGAGAAGACUGACUGGGUUUUCAUGGGUGUUUUUUCCGUCCAAGAUGCGGAAGCCGUGUCAAACUAUCACCAGCAUCAUGAAACAGUCCAUGAAAACCCAGCAACUUCUUUCAAAGAGGCUUUUCAACAGGCGAACUGAGGCGCCGAUGUGUUAAAAAGUCCGGACUUCUGUGUUAUAUUGGAGAUGAAUGUGGAGCGUGUAAUGAGUGGUUUGUAUAAUUAGUGACCAAUUUAUACUGCUGUUUGUUAUAGUAGUAAUAGACACAUGGAAAGAGUGCUAAUUUUUCACAGUAAAGAAAGUGUUUAUGCUACCUACUGUUGUUACUCCACAUGGAGAGAGAAACAGAACAAUAGGAAAAGCAAUGCAAAGAAAGAAAGACUGUGUUUCAGUGUUGUUAUUGCUGUGUAGGGAAGGAAUGUAUGCAAGAAAACAACUUAGAGAAAAAAGUAUUAUUGUUAUUGUUAUUUCACAUGGAGAGAAAACAAAUCCAAGAAAACAAUGCAAAGAAAGUGUCAAUGUUCUGCUGCUAAGAAAGUGCUGUUGUUCCGCUGAUGUUACUGUACGAAGAACAAAAUAUUUUGUCACCAUAAACAAAA
Molecule: RNA transcript, 3946 nt
Organism: Eriocheir sinensis (Chinese mitten crab)
Lineage: Eukaryota; Metazoa; Arthropoda; Malacostraca; Decapoda; Varunidae
Gene name: major facilitator superfamily domain-containing protein 10-like
Exons: 12
Source: RefSeq, a predicted model, not a curated record